CCAUUUUGAUAAUGUAGUUGAACUGUAGCGGAAAACCAGGCUCUUGCACUGGAAUAUGUAGUCAUUUUAGCUGAAGAAAGAUACCAGGAUCGAGAAUUCUACUCGAAUUGCCACAUUUUAUCACGAAGUUCAAUGAAAAGAUGUUGUUUAUGCUCGAAGUCAUAAAAAAUGAACCAGAAUGUGAAACUGCAUAGAGAGAUGACAAGAAUCAGGACUUGUCAAGAUUUUCGGCUCAUGGGAAGAAGACCUUGGCUAGAAUUGCAGCUGCCCUGGGCAUGGAAACACGAUUUGAAUGAUAUGACAGCAUUACUUACAGAAGUUGUCAAUGAACAUAUCCACCCUCGCAUUUGUUGGCAGCUCUAAAUACAAUUAAAGAAUUUUCCAAGCAUUUGAGCCUGGAAUUUC
Long non-coding RNA from Populus euphratica (Euphrates poplar), 405 nucleotides. RefSeq lists it as uncharacterized. The transcript has 2 exons. The record is from RefSeq and is a predicted model, not a curated record. Lineage: Eukaryota; Viridiplantae; Streptophyta; Magnoliopsida; Malpighiales; Salicaceae.